Molecule: long non-coding RNA, 431 nt
Organism: Dalotia coriaria
Lineage: Eukaryota; Metazoa; Arthropoda; Insecta; Coleoptera; Staphylinidae
Exons: 8
Source: RefSeq, a predicted model, not a curated record
CGACAGCGUAGGAGAACCAUUUAUGCAUCAGAUUGAUUUUGCAGGUUAGUCCGGCAUCGUAGAAGGACCAUUUUUGCAUCAGAUUGAUUUUGCACCUGAGUCUGACAUCAUACAAGGACCAUUCCUGCAUCAGAUUGGAUUUUGUACGUGAGUCUGACAUCGUAAAAGGACCAUUCUUGCAUUAUAUUGUGUCUAACGGGUGAACGCGAUGUCGUAAGGCCACCGUUCUUACACUAAAUUGUGUCUAGCGGGCGGACGCGAUGUCGUUGGGCCGUCGUUCUUACACUAAAUUGUGUCUAGCGGGCGAACAUGAUGUCGUAGGACCACCCUUCUGUUACCAAAUUGUGUCUAGCGGGCGAAGACGAUGCCGUAGGACCACCGUUCUGUUACCAAAUUGUAGGUAUUAAAGUUCUCUAUCGUUUUUGUAUAUA